AUGUUUGGGUGAGCUGGCUGUGAUUUCUCACUUCAGUGAUCACCAGGGUAGACUUGGCUGAUCUGGAUGGCUAGGCAGGUGUCCCCCUCCACCCACAAUGCU
This is a non-coding RNA of Cricetulus griseus (Chinese hamster), 102 nucleotides long. The record is from Rfam. NCBI's taxonomy places the organism in Eukaryota, Metazoa, Chordata, Mammalia, Rodentia, Cricetidae.